GUCUACAGCCAUACCACCCUUAAUGUACUGAUCUCAUGUGAUCUCAAAAACUAAGCAGGCUUGGGCCUAGUUAGUACUUGUAUGGGGGACUGCUUGGGAGUACCGGUGCUGUAGGCU
Molecule: ribosomal RNA, 117 nt
Organism: Mesocricetus auratus (golden hamster)
Lineage: Eukaryota; Metazoa; Chordata; Mammalia; Rodentia; Cricetidae
Source: Ensembl